This 977-nucleotide long non-coding RNA is filed under the name Pan troglodytes (chimpanzee). RNAcentral's name for it is "long non-coding RNA NONPTRT014240". Lineage: Eukaryota; Metazoa; Chordata; Mammalia; Primates; Hominidae. The record is from RNAcentral.
CUUUGCUACAGGAGAAAAUCGCUUAUCUGUAGCGCAAAAUCGGCGCACAGGGGUUUUCUCUGAGAUUGUCUAGACGCCGAGCGGGCGGGUCGGAGGCGCCAGACACAUUGUAUCCGGAGCGCGGAGCUCGGGAGCAACAGUCGCCGCUUCUACUCUGUAUCUGCGCCGCCCCAGGCGCCCAGUGUCCGCGCUGGGCCUGGGACUGCCCUCGGGGGAUGGGGCCCACGCGGGCUUUGAUGGGGGGCCGGGGGCCACUUUGUCCACCCAGGCGAGGCUCGGGUCCAGCGCCGGCCACAUCAACUCCCGGGGGAUCUAGCAGCGCAGAGGCCGAGCAGGAGGCCCGGGAGCCCCGCGCGUCUUCCAUUAGCGCAGGGACCUCCGGGCCACAGCUCAGAGAAUCGGAAGGCCUCCUCCCCCUUCCCGAGCGCUGCCACUGGGGCCGAGGUUUCCAGCAAGAACCCGCGUGUCCCUGCGCACGCACACACGGUGCACACAUCAGUCCGGCGCCUCCCCGUGCCCCGACUCACGCAGGUCCUCCCGCGCGCCCGCAACACGCCCGCAGGCUCCUGUGUCUGCUGCCGGGGCAGCGGGGCCCGUAAGGGUAAGAACGCGGCUCGCUAGCGGGAUGGGGACCCUGGCCCGGCCUGGACGCUGUCCCGGGCGGGGCCUGGGGGCGGAGCGCGCCGGGCCGGGCGCGCAGGAGGGGAGGCGGGUCCGCGCCGCCGCGGUCCGCGCCGCCCCGCCCUUGGCCCAGCCGCUCGCUCGGCUCCGCUCCCUGGCUCCGCUCCCUGCCUCCGCGUCGCAGCCCCCGCCGUAGCCGCCUCCGAGCCCGCCGCCACAUCCUCUGAGCAGAAGAUGGCUGUGCCACCCACGUAUGCCGAUCUUGGCAAAUCUGCCAGGGAUGUCUUCACCAAGGGCUAUGGUGAGUGUUGCAGAGAGGGGGUGCCUUUCAGCUUACAGACUGAGUUGGCAUGUUU